This is a non-coding RNA of Bos taurus (domestic cattle), 79 nucleotides long. The record is from Rfam. NCBI's taxonomy places the organism in Eukaryota, Metazoa, Chordata, Mammalia, Artiodactyla, Bovidae.
GUGUGCAGUGCCCUGCCCAGACAGGUGCAGUUCAUGUAGAAUUGGUGUACUGUGCUGCAGCUGGGUAGAGUAAGGCUCA